RNAcentral lists this ribosomal RNA (113 nucleotides) under Prolemur simus (greater bamboo lemur). Lineage: Eukaryota; Metazoa; Chordata; Mammalia; Primates; Lemuridae. The record is from RNAcentral.
GUCUACAGUCCUACCUCCCUGAGUGUGCCUGAUCUCAUCUGAUCUCAGAGCUAAGCAGGGUCGGGUCUGGUUAGUACUUGUAGACUGCCAGGGAAUACUGGGUGCUGUAAGGC